RNAcentral lists this ribosomal RNA (449 nucleotides) under uncultured bacterium. Its description in RNAcentral is "partial 16S ribosomal RNA". It matches the Rfam family "Bacterial small subunit ribosomal RNA", at positions 29 to 523 of the family's 1533-position model. The record is from RNAcentral.
AGCGAACGCUGGCGGCAGGCCUAACACAUGCAAGUCGAACGAAGCCUUCGGGCUUAGUGGCGGACGGGUGAGUAACACGUGGGAACGUACCUUUUGGUUCGGAACAACUCAGGGAAACUUGAGCUAAUACCGGAUGAACCCUUAGGGGGAAAGAUUUAUCGCCGAAAGAGCGGCCCGCGUUAGAUUAGCUAGUUGGUGAGGUAAAGGCUCACCAAGGCAACGAUCUAUAGCUGGUCUGAGAGGAUGAUCAGCCACACUGGGACUGAGACACGGCCCAGACUCCUACGGGAGGCAGCAGUGGGGAAUCUUGCGCAAUGGGCGGAAGCCUGACGCAGCCAUGCCGCGUGAAUGAUGAAGGUCUUAGGAUUGUAAAAUUCUUUUACCAGGGACGAUAAUGACGGUACCUGGAGAAAAAGCCCCGGCUAACUUCGUGCCAGCCGCCGCAGUAA